Molecule: ribosomal RNA, 466 nt
Filed under: uncultured bacterium
Lineage: Bacteria
Description: partial 16S ribosomal RNA
Rfam family: Bacterial small subunit ribosomal RNA
Source: RNAcentral
GAUGAACGCUGGCGGCGUGCUUAACACAUGCAAGUCGAACGGUGAAAGAGAGCUUGCUCUCUGGAUCAGUGGCGCACGGGUGAGUAACACGUGAGCAAUCUGCCCCUGACUCUGGGAUAAGCGCUGGAAACGGCGUCUAAUACCGGAUACGAGCUGCGAAGGCAUCUUCAGCAGCUGGAAAGAACUUCGGUCAGGGAUGAGCUCGCGGCUUAUCAGCUUGUUGGUGGGGUAACGGCUCACCAAGGCGUCGACGGGUAGCCGGCCUGAGAGGGUGACCGGCCACACUGGGACUGAGACACGGCCCAGACUCCUACGGGAGGCAGCAGUGGGGAAUAUUGCACAAUGGGCGAAAGCCUGAUGCAGCAACGCCGCGUGAGGGACGACGGCCUUCGGGUUGUAAACCUCUUUUAGCAGGGAAGAAGCGAAAGUGACGGUACCUGCAGAAAAAGCACCGGCUAACUACGUG